This 204-nucleotide long non-coding RNA is filed under the name Lathyrus oleraceus (garden pea). RNAcentral's name for it is "Pisum sativum (pea) long non-coding RNA (PSAT_LNC015863)". The record is from RNAcentral. Lineage: Eukaryota; Viridiplantae; Streptophyta; Magnoliopsida; Fabales; Fabaceae.
GGGGAGUUUGUUGGUUCUUGUGUUGGCAGCAAUUUUGGUAAAACCUAGAAUGUUAGCAAGUUGUCACAUGUGGUCCACGUUUUUUUUUUAUUUUCCAAUUUUCAUUUUAUUUGUGUUAUUUUCAUUAAUUCAUAUUAAUUUUAAUAUUGAUCCAAAUAAAUGAGAGUUUCACCAAAAAUUUUAAAUAAAUUCCUCUUUCAUUUU